CGCCGAACAUUGCAUGGUUUCGGAUUCACGUUCGACUGCCGAAGGUGGUCUGGCCAGCCACCUAUUUAAGGGCCAAAGGUCGGUGGAAGGAGGAUAUUUCUCCUCCACUUGCAGCCAGAGGUGAGUUCCAGCCUCUCCCAAGUUGACUUUCAUGUUUUCCAUGUUUUUCACCAAAUCUUUCAAGGGUUUUAAGAGUUGUGGUGUGUUUUGAAGGUUUUGAGCAAAAAUAGCAAGUUUGGAAGUUUGGAGUUUUGGAAGAGGUUUUCUUCAUAUCUCCACGUUAGGAUCACUCAUCCUCAAGUUCUUAAGGAGGUAAGGGUGGAUCCUGAACUUCUUU
This 337-nucleotide long non-coding RNA is filed under the name Manihot esculenta (cassava). Its description in RNAcentral is "long non-coding RNA (MESC_LNC002781)". Lineage: Eukaryota; Viridiplantae; Streptophyta; Magnoliopsida; Malpighiales; Euphorbiaceae. The record is from RNAcentral.